GAUGAAUGCUGGCGGCGUGCUUAACACAUGCAAGUCGAGCGGCAGCGCGGUCUUCGGACUGGCGGCGAGCGGCGGACGGCUGAGUAACGCGUGGGAACGUGCCCCAAAGUGAGGAAUAACUGCCCGAAAGGGUGGCUAAUGCCGCAUAUGGUCUUCGAAUUAAAGGAUUUAUCCGCUUUGGGAGCGGCCUGCGUAUGAUUAGGUAGUUGGUGAGGUAAUGGCUCACCAAGCCGACGAUCAUUAGCUGGUCUGAGAGGAUGACCAGCCAGACUGGAACUGAGACACGGUCCAGACUCCUACGGGAGGCAGCAGUGAGGAAUCUUCCACAAUGGGCGAAAGCCUGAUGGAGCAACGCCGCGUGCAGGAUGAAGGCCUUCGGGUUGUAAACUGCUUUUAUAAGUGAAGAAUAUGACGGUAACUUAUGAAUAAGCACCGGCUAACUACGUGCCAGCCGCCGCAGUAA
Molecule: ribosomal RNA, 463 nt
Filed under: uncultured bacterium
Lineage: Bacteria
Description: partial 16S ribosomal RNA
Rfam family: Bacterial small subunit ribosomal RNA
Source: RNAcentral